Molecule: ribosomal RNA, 484 nt
Filed under: uncultured bacterium
Lineage: Bacteria
Description: partial 16S ribosomal RNA
Rfam family: Bacterial small subunit ribosomal RNA
Source: RNAcentral
GACGAACGCUGGCGGCGUGCUUAACACAUGCAAGUCGAACGAUGAACCCGGAGCUUGCUCCGGUGGAUUAGUGGCGAACGGGUGAGUAACACGUGAGUAACCUGCCCUUGACUCUGGAAUAACUGCGGGAAACUGUAGCUAAUACCGGAUACGACCCUCGGCGGCAUCGCCAGGGGGUGGAAAGAAUUUCGGUCAAGGAUGGACUCGCGGCGGAUCAGCUAGUUGGUGAGGUAACGGCUCGCCAAGGCGACGACGGGUAGCCGGCCUGAGAGGGUGACCGGCCACACUGGGACUGAGACACGGCCCAGACUCCUACGGGAGGCAGCAGUGGGGAAUAUUGCACAAUGGGCGCAAGCCUGAUGCAGCAACGCCGCGUGAGGGAUGACGGCCUUCGGGUUGUAAACCUCUUUUAGUAGGGAAGAAGCGAAAGUGACGGUACCUGCAGAAAAAGCACCGGCUAACUACGUGCCAGCCGCCGCAGUAA